RNAcentral lists this small nuclear RNA (321 nucleotides) under Pogona vitticeps (central bearded dragon). RNAcentral describes it as "7SK RNA (ENSPVIG00000011209.1)". It matches the Rfam family "7SK RNA". Rfam says of the family: 7SK was discovered as an abundant small nuclear RNA in the mid-70s but a possible function has only recently been suggested. Two independent studies have found that 7SK RNA binds the CDK9/cyclin T complex (known as elongation factor P-TEFb). Lineage: Eukaryota; Metazoa; Chordata; Lepidosauria; Squamata; Agamidae. The record is from RNAcentral.
GGAUGUGAGGUUUAUGUAACUUUCAAUCCACAGAUAACCUGGGCUAAUUCAAUUCAUCUGGCUAGCUAGGUAAGUGUCCCUUCUCUUUCACCUCAGCAUGCACAUCCCUCCCAAAGCUGUGUGCUCAGGGAACAAGGACUGCCUCUUCUAUUUUUCUAGAUAGUGUGUACCAACCUUUGGCCAAAGAUGUAUGUUAGUUACACUCCCCUGCUAUAAUGUCAAAACAGCUGAGGUUUUGAAUUCUUGUUCAAUUAUGAGCUGACGGAUUACUUUGGACAGUCACUAGCUUUCAUCCUUUACCUCAGAUUUUAAGAAUAUUUA